CGAGUUUCACUGGAAAACAUGUUAAAACAUUAUCAAAUAGCUCGUUUUUCAUUAUGAAAAGAUAACAAAAACAAUCGGUUAAGCAUACAGUAAGAAAAACUCCAAAAAAGCCAUUACUCCUUGUUGCUGUGUUUCGUAUCGAACGGUUGCCUGUCAAAGUGCUCGUACAUGACAGAACCCUGUCUAGACCACACCAAAUUUUCUCUCUACCUGUGGUGCUUGCCGAAGUGCGUCGUGCUGUUAUAUUAACCCCAAAAAAAACCUAAUUAAAAGCUCUAUUUUACUACAAUUCAUACAUUAAUCCAAAGUUCUACACGCAACCUACAACAGGUUACCACAGAGCAGUUUUUAUUCGCGGCUAGCUGUUGUAUAAUAUAAAAUCAGUCACGCUGGAUAAGAUGGCGCGUUACCGUGAGUGGGACCUGCAGUGCAAGGUUUACGUGGGCAAUUUGGGGUCGUCCGCGUCGAAGCACGAGAUCGAAAGUGCCUUCGGCAAGUACGGGCCGCUGAGAAAUGUUUGGGUAGCACGCAACCCACCCGGUUUCGCGUUUGUCGAAUUUGAAGAUAAGCGAGACGCUGAGGACGCAGUUCGAUCGUUGGAUGGAACUCGGUGCUGCGGAACACGCAUACGGGUAGAGAUGUCGUCUGGCAGAUCGCGCCGAGAUGAACGCACACGCCGACCCCGCCGCUCGUACAGGGCAAACUCUUCUAUGAUACUACUACUCCACGACAGCGACUUCCGCCACAGAACAUCAUCUUGUCCAAAUUUUGCUAGUAGCGCUACUAGUGUUAAGUCUACUACUGCAACCACCACCACCACCACCAUCAAUUCCACCAAUUUUACCACCACCAUCACAACUACCACCAAAAAUACAACUACCACCACCACCACCACUACUACUACUACUACCUCCACCAACACCACCAAUACUUCUACUGCGUGCCUGAGCUCCUGCCGGCGCGGCUCGAUCUCUUCUAGACGCGAUCAUUCGUCUUCCGGCGACUACUACUACUACCGCCACCACCACCACCAAAACUACUACUACUACUACUACUACUUCUACUGCUGCUGCUACGGGCAUGCGCACGCGCUUCUACCUCUACUUCUGCAAGCGCCCACCGCGACACCAUUGUUGGCAGCAAAGGUAGCAGUAGCAGCAGCAGAAGCAGCAGCAGCAGCAGCAGCAGCAGCAGCAGCAGCGUCAGCACUGCGCUUCCUCUUGCGAUGGGCUUCAGCAACGGCAGCGGCCCUUCAUUGCGACGGCCUCGUGUUCUGCAGUUUGCUUCCCCUUCUACUGCUACUACCACCACCACCAUCACAACCGCCACUGCCACUGCUACUGCUACUACUUCUUCAUCGUCUUCCUCCACACCCUCUCCAUCGGCUGCGGGGUAGUAGCGGCGGUCGUCUCAGCAGCACCACACACAGCCUUCGCAGUGAUUCAGCAGCGCCCUGUACCGCCGCUCAACGGUGCCUUCAUCCACUGCCAUCGCCGCGCGUCCCGUGGUGGCCGCUGUUGGUUCCUUCUUGAAGAGACAGCGCUUGUCGACAUCAGGUCAGCCCGCUGGUAGGCUCACCCUGAAGUGUGUCUCGACCUUGCAAAAACGCUCGGGCUUGGUUGGUUGGUGUUUGUACUUCCACCGACAGAGGCCGUCUGAUGCAAGAGCGCUGCUGCGUAGUAUGUGCUGACCAAGCUCAACUUCUUGCUCUCAAGGAGAUGAAGCAGACAGCCGCAGCCAAAAGGUCAAAUAGUGUCAUCAUUCUUCAAUAUGCUACCCAAGCUCACACAAACAGCCGGAACGUUUGGUGACUGAUAUCAUGCCUCCGAGUAACAAGGAGUUUGUUCCGAAGUGUUUUCCCCAUGCAGAAGAGCAUGGCAUCGCUGCUGCUGCUGCAACGCCUCGGGUCAUCUUACGGCUCUCUCGCCUUCGCUCAUCUUCUCCAGAGCUCCCCCGGAUGGGUUCACGCCGUCUCGGAAUCUGUUUUUUUUUCUUCUUUUUUUUUCUCUCUAUAUCUCUUUCCCAGCGAGAUCAUCUCCUUCAGUUUGUUUUGUACAAAACCAGUUUUUGACACGCGCGCUCUCUGUCAUGAGUUGGUGGCCUCACAGUCCGCGCAAUUACACACAAUUUGUCAUCAUCAUCCUUCGCGCUACUUCGGCGCCUAGGGGCUUCUCCGGGAAUCCUUUGCACCUGCCAACUUUAUUUCUCAUCACCGACCACCAUUCUUCACCAACAACCUCUAUCUACCAAGCGUAUUCUGCCACUGCUACUGCUACUACCACUACCACCACUACCACUACUAGUAUCUACUUCUAUUGCUACAACUACAACAACUACUACUACUACUGCUGCUGCGGCUGCUACUACCACAACUAUGCUACUUGUCUGCUGCACCAUCCCAUCAUCGUCAUCCAUUGGGUAUCCUUUGGCAAACGAGAGAGUUAUGACACCCCGGUUCACAUCAGGAACCGUGCCGUACCACCACCACGACCUGCUACUCUGCCUCCCCCCCGUCUCAACAGCUGGUGCUGCUGCCUCCUACUUCUGCUACUGUGCCAUCACACCAUCAUUUUCUUCGGUGCUGCUUCGGUGCAUCCAUAGACCACCUCCGGGAUUGCAAUCCCUGACCGCUCCUCUUGGCCGGGCUCCGCUCCGGGUAUUCAGCAUCCCUUAACAAACAAGCUACUCGCAACCUUGCGCAUCAUCGUGUGGUGGCUGUUACAGUUGGUGCAGUUAGUGUGCAUUAGUGUUGUGUUGGUGGUAGCGCAGCCUCCAAAUCACAUUACUCCUACUCUCUGUCUCCGCUAGCGUUUCGCUAUGCCAACAGUGUCAAAAAACAACCGCAACUGUAAGUGAACCUAUUCAUUCCUGAUAGCCAACCUUGCCCGUUUAAAACCCGAUUGUGCGUAAAUAAUGUAUCCUUCAGGUCACGUAGCUGGGAUCAUCCCAUCGCCGCAGCCUAGCCUAAUAUCUCAAGCUCUUCCCUCCGACAUUUCACCACAAACAACGACCAUACGACCAUAAGUAGCCUUUCACCAUCACCUACUACCAUCACGACCACCACCACAACACCGUUGACCUACUACUACCUCUACUCGAACUACGCCACCGCGUGCAAGACAUCACAACAUCACCUUCCAUCGUCGCCCACCAUCUUGCGCGGUUCUUCCUGCUGCCCUUCAACCCAUCGAACCCGGUUCUGCUUCUGCUCUUCCCCUUUGUGUGCGAAACCACUGUCGUCCCCAAAGCAAAACUGGCCAUCUCUCUUCACGUGUGGUGUGUGUGUGGCAUCUCUACCAUUUCGAAAAGAGUUCGCUGCAGCACAGCGCCACUGCUGCAACCGUGAACCGGAUGAAGACGGUCGCCAACAAUUGGAUCGAAUACUGAAAUUCUAUAGCUUCCUCCUUCACCACCAACACCAUCGCCACCAACACACCACCACCAAAUCACAUCCAACCAUAUCAAAAUGCUCCACAACGCGCGCGUGUGUGUGUGCGUGCGCUCGCUCGCUCGCUUUCUCUUCUCAUCUCUUCUUCCGUUUCCGGAAAAGAUCUCGCUCACCGCGUCGUUCCAGAUCCCGCAGCCGCAGCAUGAGCCGUGAGCGCGAUCGCGACCGUCGCAGCCGCAGUGGAUCUCGCGACCGUCGCUAAGAUGCUAGGAGGAGGAUGUGCGCUGACGAAGACGCACGCACGCACUCGACAAGAGGACAAACGCAGAGCGCGAACACAUACAUGCAGGUGUGGUUAAUGA
Anopheles stephensi (Asian malaria mosquito) is the source of this 3750-nucleotide RNA transcript. It is a transcript of the gene named RNA-binding protein 1-like, with no coding region annotated. The record is from RefSeq and is a predicted model, not a curated record. The transcript has 5 exons. Lineage: Eukaryota; Metazoa; Arthropoda; Insecta; Diptera; Culicidae.